CCUACGGGAGGCUGCAGUGAGGAAUAUUGGUCAAUGGCCGGAAGGCUGAACCAGCCAAGUCGCGUGAGGGACGACUGCCCUAUGGGUUGUAAACCUCUUUUAUAAGGGCAGAAUACAUGCUACGUGUCGCAUGAUGCCUGUACCUUAUGAAUAAGCAUCGGCUAACUCCGUGCCAGCAGCCGCGGUAAUACGGAGGAUGCGAGCGUUAUCCGGAUUUAUUGGGUUUAAAAGGUGCGUAGGCGGUUUUUUAAGUUAGGGGUUAAACGUCGGGGCUUCACCUUGGUUUGCCAUUAAUACUGUAAGACUCGAGUUCAGACGAGGUAGGCGGAAUAAGGUAAG
This 339-nucleotide ribosomal RNA is filed under the name uncultured bacterium. RNAcentral describes it as "partial 16S ribosomal RNA". It matches the Rfam family "Bacterial small subunit ribosomal RNA", at positions 338 to 675 of the family's 1533-position model. The record is from RNAcentral.